UACAAGUGAUGCUAAGUGCUGUGAGGAAGUUUACAGGGUGACAGGAGAGACAACAAGAGGAGGGACCUACUCAGAGAGGGUGGUAUGGGACAGACUCUCUGUACAGGUGACAUUACGCUAAACCCAGAAGGAUGAGGAGGAGCCAUGCAGAAUGUAGCUGAGCUGGGGAUGCACUCUAGCAAGAAGCGAUGUGACAAAGGCCCUGAGACCUGAAAGGGGCAAUGCUGGAAUGGAAAAUAGGAAUUGGAAAACGGGAGGUGGAUAUGGGACAUGUUGUAGCUGAGGGGCCAGUGGGCACCCAGAAGAAGAUACCAAGGCAGUUCUGGAAACACAGGACUUGAGCUCAGAAGAGAGGAUUGCCUGCAUGGAGGAGAUAAGGGAAGCAAUGCAUUUGGCAGGAUUGCCCAGGGGAGUGAUCUAAGAUACACAGACACAUAAGACAUAGAAGCUGAACCAAAAGAUCCCCGGGGUGUGCAGGGUCAGCCCCGGGAGUCCUCAGCCCCACACCACCCUCUCUGAGUAGGUCCCUCCUCUUGUUGUCUCUCCUGUCACCCUGUAAACUUCCUCACAGCACUUAGCAGCAGCCUGUGAACUGAGGAGCAGAAUUGUGAAUUGAGGUAGUGGAGGACAGAGAGCCUGACAACAGGAGUUCCUGUGGGGAUUUCAAGGCUGAAGAUGAUCAGAGAGGGGGCAACACCAAGGUAGGGAAUGAGAUCAGGUAGCAACAUUCAGUUCACCCCAAAUCAUAUCCAUUGCACAAGAGCAUGGGCAGCCUGGUGCCAGCAAGAGCCAAGGAUGGAGCCUUAGGAAACAAAAGGAGGGAGGGCCUGGGGACAGAUGCUCCCCAGGCUGAAGCGGAUACAGACGGCCCUGCUGGUGAAGAACACAAACCGGAAUUCCCUAUUUCAGCUGUUUUGUAUGAAAGCUAGUGCUGCCCAAGUCAAAAUGCAUGAUGUGUUCAGAGAAAAUGCUGACCUUCUGUUCUCCCACAAGUGAGCUGAGCAGGGAUAGAGAACGGAGUUGCUCUGGAGAAGUCUACAACAAAAUUAAUGGCUCAGAAAGGCUGAGUGUGAUGACAGCUGCUUUUCCUCAGUUUUCUUUCCUGGACUUGAGACACUUUCUUUUCCCGUAAGACUUGCUGGUUGUUGCUAAAGGGCAACACAACACAUGCAAACUUUUAAAUUUGCGAGAAUCAGAAACAGAAAUUCCUCUUUGGAACACUGCUGCAGAUGACGGCAAAGCCAAGAUGCUGUGGGACUCCCUGAAGAGGAGAUGUACCAAAACUCUGCGUCCUUAGAAGACAGCCCACUUCAUGCAGUGUUUUUGGGUAUCCACAGCAGCCUAACAAAAACGGCAGCCGAGGCCUUUCAGUUAAAGCCGCUGAUGCACAGCCCGUAAUUUCCAUAGUCCCUCUAGCUGUAGAAGCUUCUCUCUACACCAACAAUGCAGGUCAAGAAUCUGAACUUAAAUGACUGAUUUUGCCACGUUUUCUACUUUCACUUGGUAAUUCUUACAGAAACCGAAAAAAACAAUUUCACUAAGUGCUUCAUUUAUCUGUAUCUACACGUGGACUUAGGAGGGUCCUCUCAGUACAUAAAAUAUCUUUUUUUUUUUUGGUGAGGAAGAUUGUUGCUGAGCUAACAUCCAUGACAGUCUUCCUCCAUUUUGCACGUGGGUCAGUCGCCACCACAGCACGGCUUGAUGAGCAAUGUGUAGGUCCGUGCCUGGGAUCCAAACUCAUGAACCCUGGGCAACCAAAGUGGAGCACCUAAACUCAACCAUUACGCCACCGGGCAGCCCCAAAAUAUCUUAAAAUUAUAAUACCCUAUUUUAAGCUGAUAACAACUUAACUUCAACAGAAUUCCUAAACUUCACAUUUUUACUUCUCCCUCUCACAUUUUAGGUUAUUAUUGUUACAAUUUACAUAUUUUUAAUAUUGUGUAACUAAUAACACAUUAUUGUAGUUACAGCUACUUUUACUACAUUCCUUUUUUUUUUUACUUUUAAACUACAGUUCUAAUGAAUUAUGCACCGCUUCCAUAUAAGAGAAUCUAACUUGGCUGUAUACUUACCAUCACCAAUAAGAUUUACGUACCUUUUUACGUUUUUAUGAUGUUACUGAAAGUUUGGUCUCUGAUCCCGAUGCCAAUCCAAGUAAAGAGAACUGAGUCUUGGGAGAAAAAGGAAAGGCUUUACUUUGCCAGGCAGAGGGAGCAAAGCAAGGGCCAGUGCCCCAAAAGUUGCUGGCUCUCUAUUAAGAAAUGGGUAAGGGUUUUCAUUUGGGGUUUUCGGUAGGGGAGGGGGCCGUGGUCUUCUUGGUCAGCGUUUUCCCAUGGGCCUGUGUCUGGGCUGCUUCCAGGGAGACAGGAUUUUUCAGCUGAGUGUCCUUGGCUGUUUAUCUCCAUGGUAGAAGGCAGACUCUGAGGUCAGGACGCCGAGGAGUGGGCCUGGGAAGCUUUGGUCUCUUGAUAUUCUUUGCACAUUAGUUUCUCUCUAAGAGAACUUCCAGGUCCUGGGAUUAGACACAACUUUGGUGGGAGCCCAGGGUGAGGCCACGUGGGCUUGAACAAUUUCUAACUUGUUUGGCCCUAUAGCUCAGGGAGUCAGAGGCUAAAAAAACAAGCAUUUACAUAUGAGCAUAAUCUAAGACCCAGGGACCUGGGAAUGUGUGUGUUUGGUUUUAACCCACAUGUGCCAGGUUCACCGUAGGGGAACUGAUAUCAGGGCUGAUAUCGACUGAGAACUGGGAACAAUGUCACCCGUUGUGGCCAGGGGAAGCUCAAGGUCAGCGGGCGGCUCCCCUCGCUCCAACAGGGUCUGCCCCUUCUGGGACUCUUAGCAGCAUCUCCUGUGAACAGCUGUCAGCUGUCCUCCUCCCAGGGCACAAAUCAGGAAGACUCCCAUCUAGCCAUCCGAAAGCCACUGUGUCAGUGGCGCCCACCCCAGAGCAACAUGUGCCAGGCCCAUAUUUCUCAGAAAUCUGUCGCUGGCUCAGCUCUGUCCUCUCAGCCCGGAGGACGGGAGUGGACACCACAGGCCCAGACUUCCAAGUCUGUCAGGGGCUCAGCGCCGUCCUCUCAGCCGGAGGACGGGAGUGGACACCACAGGCCCAGACUUCCAAGUCUGUCAGGGGCUCAGCGCCGUCCUCUCGGCCCGGAGGACAGGAGUGGACACCACAGGCCCGAACUUCCAAGUCUGUCAGGGGCUCAGGGGCCAUCCUCUCAGCCCGGAGGACGGGAGUGGACACCACAGGCCCAGACUUCCAAGUCUGUCGGGCUCAGGCCGUCCUCUCGCCCGGAGGACGGGAGUGGACACCACAGGCCCGAACUUCCAAGUCUGUCAGGGGCUCAGGGGCCAUCCACUCAGCCCGGAGGACGGAGCGCGGCCGCCCUUCCUCCCACGCCUCCUCAGGCCCCCGCCUACUGGGCAAGCCGACCCCGCGCAGUUCACCAGUUCAACGACCGCCAGGCUUCUCGGCCUCUGACCGAUGGGCCGUGGGAUCUACUAACGGGAACUGCUGCAAGAGAAACUGAGGCACGCCGAACGCUCUUCUGUUUGUUUGAGUAAAAACGACCCCAUCCGGCAGUGUCACGCGGAGACGCUGGGAUCACCGGCCAACAGGGGCUGGACACAGACUUCUGCCGAGAAGAGGCGACAUGAGGGAAGGAGGCGCGGGCGGCGCUGCCUCUGAGGCCGGGCUGGCUGUCGGCAGGCCGUCCUCGGUUCCCCGCGUUAACCCUGAGGCGCCCGCGGGCCAUCGGCACGGCAGCCACACUCGGAGGGCGCCCGGGAGCUGACGUAAGCACGUAACGCGGACGCGCCAGGCCGCGCUCCCUCGAAGGCCGGCAGGCCGCUGGAAGGUCGAGCGCCCCGCUCUCUAGCCCGCCCCAACUGGGGCCCGGGGGCCGGGCGCGCCUGCACACGGAGGGACAGCGGCUCUCGGACGGGACGGCGGCGCCUACUCACCGUGCCCAGCGCGCCAACCCAACAGGACCAAGUGCCCCCGCGGCGCUGGGGCCUGGCGGCGCCAGGCCGGGCCCCCGAGGCCGGCCUCGUGGAGGGGCGAGGAGCGGGGGCGCUGCCUCGGGAGCUCGCCCGGACGGCCCAGGGCCCGCCGCCCCAGGGGCUCGACUCCAGGCCCGCUGGAGGGCCUCGCCGCGGUGGACUCCGGGCGGGCUGCACCCAGGUGGGGCACAGCAGGACCUGGACCGGAAGCUGGGGCGCGAGGACGGGAGGCGGCCGCUCCGGGAAGGCCGCUAUCCUGAGGCGGCCAAGUGACCGGACGUGGGCCUCGUGCAGGGGUCAGUCGGAGCCUCCCUGGCACAGCAGAGGCCUCGAGGUGUGGGCAGGCGGCGGCUCACCGGAAGCUGGGCCAGAAGCUCCCUCCACAUGCCGCCGGAAUCCCAGCGGCCAAAGGGUGGGGGGCAUGGGAGGUGAUGACUGCUGGCUCUUAAAACUUCCCCACCCCGCCCCCCCACCCCCGCGCCGGAAGUGACGCACGUUACUCUGCUCGCCCCUCAUUGGCCAAGGGAAAUCAUGUGGCCACACCUUCCUUCAAAAGGGCAGCGCGGGCCGCCCAGCGCUCCUGGACCGGGUGGUGGUGAGGGCACCAGCGUCUGCCCACGUGCCUGCCCUGCCUGUUCAGCCUGGUGGGAAUCCCCGUCCAGGAGUGCAAGCCGGUGGGAACCAACUGCCUGCUCGAUUUACUUCAUCCUUGAAGUGCUGCCCGAUGGUAAAAGAUGAUCUGUAUCAGGAAGUCUGAGAUUUGACCCACGAUCAGCUUUUUCACAAGCGUGCCAGAUGAUGUUGUGGAAGUGGCUUUAAGACGACACUGUGAGAAGUGCCGCCUUAGCAUGCAGUCUCAGGUGUGGGCAUUUGCACUUUAACAAGGCCCAGAGCCUCAGAUUAAAGGAGCAAAGUUGGUGUCCAUUUCUGGCUGCUUGGUGGGCUAGAGACCGUGAUCAAUUCUACUACUGGAAACAAUGAAAAACCCUGGAUAAAAUGUCUUUUAGCAUCUUUUUAAAUUUAUUGAUGAGCUGUCCAGAAAGCAAGAUAUUCUCUGAGGCUGAAAAACCUAAAUUUAAAGCAAGAAGCCAGAAGGGUAACCAGAUCACUUAUGUUGGCUUUUGCCCUGAGGAUUUGCCAAACCCAGGAAAACUGAGUCUCACUUUUCAUUCCGCAAAGCGUCCCGGGAGGAAGAGAGAAUGCUCUGUACACAGACAGUGGGGAGGCUGAUGAGAGACCCCGCUGAAGCUGGAGCUCCUGGGGGCAACAUGCUCAGUUAAGGGGUGGACCAGAAAUAAACUUGCCCCAUCCCUGGGAAAUGUAACGAAACUGCCUCUCUCAAGUCGUGGGCAUGCUGGAAGGGAGAAAAAGCCUCCUUGAGUAUUCUUAGCACAAGCCAGGUCUUGCAUGGCUUCAUGCAAUCUAGGUCACCCAGCUCCUCAAACUGAAUAGUUUAAAGUUCUUUGGGGUCGGUGGUUGCCCAGGAGCCUGGCAUAGGCAAGAGGAAAUUCUCUCUGACAGAAACCAUUUUUGACCCAGGUGCAAAAAAUUGCCAAAAAUAAUGUUUCAAAAGAUGAGCUCAUAUAAAAAAAUCCCCCAAAUACAUAUGAAUAUAUACAAGAUGUCGAUGUCACAAUGCAUUACCGUAUUAACAAAUCCUGAUGGCUCGAUCUUUAACACAUAUGCACAGUCUUACAACCUCCACCGUCAGCUCCCUGACCCUAGUUCAAAUCAUCACAGUCUCUCACCUGAACCGUAUGUUCAGGUUCACAAUUCUAGAUACAUAAUAUAGGAACAAAGAAGUCUAAGGCAUGAUCUUAAAAACACAGUCAUAUAACAGCGUCAAAAAUACAGAGCUAUAGGGGCUGGCCCCGUGGCUAUACAUCUAAUAAAAGAUGUGCGAGGCCUUCACAUAGAAAAUUACAAAAUAUUUCAAAGAUAAAAAAUAAGUGUAGAGCUGGAACACAUUACGAAGUGGUUAACUCAAUAUUGGAAUAAUGCAAAUUCUCCUAAAAUCUAUAAAUUCAAUGCAAUGGAAAUAAAAAGCACAAGAGAUUUAUUUUUAAUGUUCCCUUUUGUAUGUAUGUGGGUAGGUAUAUAACUAGACAAGCUAUUUAAAAUUCAUGUGGAAGUACAGAGAACUAAAAGUAGCAAGGGUUAUCUUGAUAAAAAAUUGGGUUGGGAGGAGAGAAAUUUACCUAAUCAGAUAUCAAGAUUAUUAUGUAGCUAUAUCAAUGAAAACAGUGGAGUAUGAGUCAGGGAUAAAAAAGGACAGGGAGCACACGUGUGGUUUAUGGCAGGGAGAGACUGUGAAACAGUAAAGAAAAGAUAGACUUUUUAAACAAUGAUCCUGGAACACUUGGUUAUCUGUAAGGAAAACCAAUCAACUUGGCUCUCUUCCUCACAGCUUGUGUGAAAAUCAAUUGCAGGUGACAUGAAGACUUAAGAGAGAAAGGCAACACUUUACACUCAUGGGGAAAAAAAUAGGAGAAUACCUUUAUGACCAUGAGAUAGGAAGACAUUUUUUUAAAUAAGGCCUAAAAUGACAAACCAUAAAGGAAAGACUUGGUAAAUAUCAACUACAUUAAAGUUAAGUACUUCUGUAUGUUGAAGGAUGCCAUAAAGACUGUGAAAAGAUAGGCCACCAAUUGGGAGAAGAUACUUGCAACAAAUACAACUGACAAAAGUUUAAUACAUAUUCAGAAUAUAUAAUGAAAUUCUAUAAACAAAAAAAGGAAAAAGGGUCAAACUUUGAACAGACAUUACAAAAGAGAAAAUAUAUCAAUAAACUUGGAAAAUAUCAACUUAUUUAGUAGUAAGAAAAAUGCAAAUUAAAACUACAAUAGUAUUUCAUGCCUACUAGAAAAGCAAAAAUUAAAAAUUCUGAGAAUAACAAGUAUCAGUGAUGCUUUUAACAUUUACACACCACUGGUGGAAAUUUAAAUUGGUGCAACCACUUCGGAAAAUAAUUUGGCAUUUUCUAAUAAAUUUGAAGAUUCACAAGACCUGUGAUUGCACUUCUCUCCUAGGAAUAAACUUGGAGGAACUCUUGCAUGUAUGCACCAAAGACCCAUGCAUGUUCAUAGCAGCACUGUUUAGUGACAGCAAAAAUCUGGAAAUAGUCCAAAUGUCCACAAUCGUAGAAUGAAAUUUAAGUUGUGGCAUAUUCACUCAAUACAAUUUUGCAUAGCAAUGAAACAAGUGAACUAUAAACACAUGCAAGAACAUGGAUAAAUCCCAAGACGCAACAUUGAUUUUUAAAAGUUGCAGAAUAUAGUAUGAGUCCACUUAUAUAAAGUUCAAAUAUGGGUAAAACCAAACUAUGUUUUCUGGAGAAAUAAAUAUGAAAGGUAAAAUCUUAUGGAAAAGCAAGGUGAUGAUUAAUGCAAAAAUCAGGAUGUCAGUUCUCUCUGAGAGGGAGGAGCCUGCAAAGGACGGCCAGCGAAGGAUGAACCACUUUCCAUAAACCAGGUGCAUGGUAUCGGUAUUCAUUUAUCUCACACAUGUUUUACAUAUUUGUAUCUUUCCUUUGGAAACUGCUUUCAGAUAGUAUAUAUUCCUCAAAACAGUGAAUUUCCGUUAGCAUAUUUCAAACUUUUAUAAGCAAUUGGG
This 7617-nucleotide long non-coding RNA is filed under the name Equus caballus (horse). RNAcentral describes it as "lncRNA (ENSECAG00000054132.1)". Lineage: Eukaryota; Metazoa; Chordata; Mammalia; Perissodactyla; Equidae. The record is from RNAcentral.